GGGGGGUGGAUGUCGGAUUAUUGGGCGUAAGAGCUCGUAGGCGGUUUGUCGCGUCUGCCGUGAAAGUCCGGGGCUCAACUCCGGAUCUGCGGUGGGUACGGGCAGACUAGAGUGAUGUAGGGGAGACUGGAAUUCCUGGUGUAGCGGUGAAAUGCGCAGAUAUCAGGAGGAACACCGAUGGCGAAGGCAGGUCUCUGGGCAUUAACUGACGCUGAGGAGCGAAAGCAUGGGGAGCGAACAGGAUUAGAUACCCUGGUAGUCCAUGCCGUAAACGUUGGGCACUAGGUGUGGGGGACAUUCCACGUUUUCCGCGCCGUAGCUAACGCAUUAAGUGCCCCGCCUGGGGAGUACGGCCGCAAGGCUAAAACUCAAAGGAAUUGACGGGGGCCCGCACAAGCGGCGGAGCAUGCGGAUUAAUUCGAUGCAACGCGAAGAACCUUACCAAGGCUUGACAUGAACCGGAAAGACCUGGAAACAGGUUCCCCACUUGUGGUCGGUUUACAGGUGGUGCAUGGUUGUCGUCAGCUCGUGUCGUGAGAUGUUGGGUUAAGUCCCGCAACGAGCGCAACCCUCGUUCCAUGUUGCCAGCACGUGAUGGUGGGGACUCAUGGGAGACUGCCGGGGUCAACUCGGAGGAAGGUGGGGACGACGUCAAAUCAUCAUGCCCCUUAUGUCUUGGGCUUCACGCAUGCUACAAUGGCCGGUACAAAGGGUUGCGAUACUGUGAGGUGGAGCUAAUCCCAAAAAGCCGGGUCUCAGUUCGGAUUGGGGUCUGCAACUCGACCCCAUGAAGUCGGAGUCGCUAGUAAUCGCAGAUCAGCAACGCUGCGGUGAAUACGUUCCCGGGCCUUGUACACACCGCCCGUCAAGUCACGAAAGUUGGUAACACCCGAAGCCGGUGGCCUAGCCCCUUGUGGGAGGGAGCUGUCGAAGGUGGGACUGGGCGAUUGGGACUAAUCGUAACAAGGUAAC
Molecule: ribosomal RNA, 972 nt
Filed under: uncultured bacterium
Lineage: Bacteria
Description: bacterial SSU rRNA
Rfam family: Bacterial small subunit ribosomal RNA
Source: RNAcentral